AUGGCGAGCUCGACGGCGGCGGAGACGUCUUCUGUACUGCGAGCUCCACCAUCCCUACACAUACUGUACUGCGAGCUCGACGACGACAGUGGCGUCUUCUUGGCAGGCAAAAUUCCUAACUGUUGGAGUAGCUUCGUCAUAAGCCUGAAAUGCAACUUGGAGGACAAUUGGACAACAGGAGAACAAUUGGACAACAUCAUCAGGAGGUUAGCAACCAACACGAACUGCAACACGAAAUUUCAGGAUAAUCGGGAGGACAGCAACAAUAAAUUUCAGGAUCACAAAGAGUUCAGUGGAGGCGGGGGCGGGGACGGGGAUUGGAGUACCAACCGUCCGCAAUAG
This 342-nucleotide ribosomal RNA is filed under the name Triticum aestivum (bread wheat). RNAcentral's name for it is "partial small subunit ribosomal RNA". The record is from RNAcentral. Lineage: Eukaryota; Viridiplantae; Streptophyta; Magnoliopsida; Poales; Poaceae.